RNAcentral lists this ribosomal RNA (497 nucleotides) under uncultured bacterium. Its description in RNAcentral is "partial 16S ribosomal RNA". It matches the Rfam family "Bacterial small subunit ribosomal RNA", at positions 28 to 507 of the family's 1533-position model. The record is from RNAcentral.
GACGAACGCUGGCGGCGUGCCUAAUACAUGCAAGUUGAGCGAUGAAGAUUGGUGCUUGCACCAAUUUGAAGAGCAGCGAACGGGUGAGUAACGCGUGGGGAAUCUGCCUUUGAGCGGGGGACAACAUUUGGAAACGAAUGCUAAUACCGCAUAACAACUUUAAACAUAAGUUUUAAGUUUGAAAGAUGCAAUUGCAUCACUCAAAGAUGAUCCCGCGUUGUAUUAGCUAGUUGGUGAGGUAAAGGCUCACCAAGGCGAUGAUACAUAGCCGACCUGAGAGGGUGAUCGGCCACCUUGGGACUGCGCGACGGGCCAAAAUGCUACGGGAGGCAGCAGUAGGGCAUCUUCGGCAAUAGACGAAAGUCUGACCGAGCAACGCCGCGUGAGUGAAGAAGGUUUUCGGAUCGUAAAACUCUGUUGGUAGAGAAGAACGUUGGUGAGAGUGGAAAGCUCAUCAAGUGACGUUAACUACGCAGAAAGGGACGGCUAACUACGUG